UUUGCGUUAACGUUAGAAACGACAUCCUUUUUUUACAUUUGCCACAAUGCAAAUAGCAAAAAAAGAUAUAGUGUAUAGCGUGUUAAAAC
RNAcentral lists this small RNA (89 nucleotides) under Pedobacter psychrophilus. RNAcentral describes it as "Pedobacter sp. CCM 8644 Flavo-1 RNA". It matches the Rfam family "Flavo-1 RNA". The record is from Rfam by way of RNAcentral. Lineage: Bacteria; Pseudomonadati; Bacteroidota; Sphingobacteriia; Sphingobacteriales; Sphingobacteriaceae.